This 253-nucleotide ribosomal RNA is filed under the name uncultured bacterium. RNAcentral describes it as "partial 16S ribosomal RNA". It matches the Rfam family "Bacterial small subunit ribosomal RNA", at positions 524 to 776 of the family's 1533-position model. The record is from RNAcentral.
UACGUAGGUGGCAAGCGUUGUCCGGAUUUAUUGGGUUUAAAGGGUGCGUAGGCGGCCCUGUAAGUCAGUGCUGAAAUGUCCCAGCUUAACUGGGAGGGUGGCAUUGAUACUGCGGGGCUAGAGUACAGAUGAGGUAGGCGGAAUUGACGGUGUAGCGGUGAAAUGCUUAGAUAUCGUCAAGAACACCUAUAGCGAAGGCAGCUUACUAGGCUGUAACUGACGCUGAGGCACGAAAGUGUGGGGAUCAAACAGG